RNAcentral lists this transfer RNA (71 nucleotides) under Ceratocystis platani. It matches the Rfam family "tRNA". Rfam says of the family: Transfer RNA (tRNA) molecules are approximately 80 nucleotides in length. Lineage: Eukaryota; Fungi; Ascomycota; Sordariomycetes; Microascales; Ceratocystidaceae. The record is from Rfam by way of RNAcentral.
GCCAAUCUAGCUUAAUGGAAGAGUACUUGACUUGUAAUCAAGGGGUACAGGUUCGACUCCUGUGUUUGGCA